CUUCAUCCGAGCAGCAUAGACACGCAGCCACUCAGUUGCAACAAAACUCGCACGAACUGAUGCGGAUGGACGACGGAUAUCAAGUUUGCCGUCGAGAUGUGCAAACAGGAAUCAGGACGGUGAUACGAUGGACGCGGAAUAAUAUUCCGCUCCCAGCUCUUCUUGUUUCACAACACCAAACAAGCACCCUCUCAUCCUCUCUCGCGUUCUCUCUUCUGCUUCUGUAAUACGGAUAUUGUAUUACUUUUGCAUUUCCAAAUUCUGGUUAGUCCCAAACUUUGUCUCUCUCAGGCGAGACGGGUAAAAAGGAAACAAGAGCAGGGAGCGAAAGGGAUUUCAUACAAACAGUCCAGCGUUCUACUCCAUCAUUUCAUGCUCUUUCACCCACCAAAUAUUCGAUGCGUCCGAGAACCAAGUAAAAUCAGGUUCGUGGAGGACUUGUGAUCUCUCACAAGAGAAAAAUUCAAUCUCAAAUGGAGAGCCCUCGUCUUCUUCCUCCUUUGUUGGUGAUGGAGAAGGAACAGUUAAUCUGUAAUGGACAACUUAGAGUGACAAGUUCAGCUGCGGUCGGUCCAGGAAGGUAUGUCUCCUCUACUACUCGACUCCAUCAGUCUGGGGAAAGCGACACCACAGAAGAGAAGAGAAAGUAGAAAGGGAAAAGCACAAGUCCCCAUAAAGAUCUCCAGAUUAGAUUAAUAGUUAGUGCACAACCAAGUUUAGCAACUAACUAACAGUUGUCAAUUGUCACCAUGGUCGGCGGGCGGGCCUUCUGCCUAAAGCAUCAAGCACCAAACUGAUACUUCUUCUUGCGAGAAGUCAUUUAAUUCAGUCGCCCCAAACUCCUCAACAAAUGGCGAAUGAGUGACAUCCGACUCCACUUUCUCUACGCAAGAAGAAAUUCAGACAUUUCCCUGCACGAGAUAGCAAUCCAGGUUUCAUUAUUGUGAAGAGUAAUUCACUUAUCUCUAUUCCCUUAUCUCACCAAACUCGGCCGAUUGGGUUCAGACUUUGGUGGUGGCUGCGUGGUGGUGGUCGUCGUCGUCCGACACUGGGAGGGGACGGCGACAGUGAUGGAGGUCACAACGGAGACGAGUGAAAUCGGAUUCCUGCCAGCAACUCUAUAUGUACCCUGCCCAUUCUUCCGUUAGGAAUUCGAUUAAGAAUGUGAUUUGACGACAUCAAGAAUAUGGAGUUUCAACCGAUUGUGACGAAGAGGAAGGACAAAUGGUAACAACUGGAAUACUAAGAAAACAACGAACUCCCUUCAUUCCCACUUCACCCCAAAUACGCUUUUAUGGCUUGACGACGACUUUCACCAUGAAUUUAUAAUGUUGCCCUAUCUAUUUUUUCCUCUGGAAGUGACUAAUAGUAAGAUCUUUCGUUUGACCUAAACCCAGCCUGGGAAGGUCGAUGGAGUUUGUGGAGCCCUAUUUAAGAAUGGGGGUAGCUCCUCCCCUCCCACCCUGGGUUGAGCCGUUUUGCACUUUCACCGACGUGGCGAAAGCCCCAAGGUGCACCGAGUGGCAUUAUGCAUGCAGUGUGGCUAGUCGUUGUACUUGUUGCUGCUGGUUAGGCCAAUCAUUUGGUCGAUACCUCAUGCAAAACACAUUACGUUACAAUUAGUCUGUUGUAUAAGUUGCAAUUGUCCAAAAUUGAUCUACUUCAA
Folsomia candida is the source of this 1666-nucleotide long non-coding RNA. RefSeq lists it as uncharacterized. The record is from RefSeq and is a predicted model, not a curated record. The transcript has 3 exons. Lineage: Eukaryota; Metazoa; Arthropoda; Collembola; Entomobryomorpha; Isotomidae.